UCGGGCACCCAUUGGCUGAGGCGGGCGGAGGCGGAUAUCGAACGUCGCUGUUUGUGUUCAAACGUUCCAGCGGGAGGUGGGGCGAAGGGCGCUCUCCGCUUGGGAGGCCGGCGAGUCGUGGCUGCGGGGCAACGCGCGUGGCCCGAGCGCGCUCCUACCAUGGUGCCCUCGCGGUGCGUGAAAAGCGAGUACAUGAAGCGCUUCAAGGAACCGAAAUGGGAGGCGUGCGGCCCCUGCUACCAGGAGCUGCUGCGCUACCGCUUGAGCCGGCGCAUCUUGGAGCAGACGCACCGGCCUUGGUUCUGGGACGGCUGGGAGCAGGACAGCAGCCUCAGCAGCGGCAGCGCGGGCUCCUCGUCGCCCCCGGGCGCUUCUAGCCCCCAGGCUGCCCAGCAGCGAGAGGAGGAAGCCGCGGUCACCCCUGGGAAAGCGGAGGCGCCCGGAGAGCCGGGACAGGACAGGACCGGUGGAUCUGCGGAAGCUGGAAUAUACAGCCCGGUCGGACCUUUGCGCGGAUCUGAUGAAGAAGCUCAAGAAAAAGCUGAAGAAAAGCCUGAGGUUGACCAAGAGGAAAGGAAGCCGGCAGUGAAAGAGCCUGACAAGUCAACUAGUCAAGCACAGCGACUCCCUGCAGGUCGGAGUGUUUUAGGUGGACGUACUGACAGAAGACGGCUGAAAAGUCCUCAAAAGACAGAUACGACAAAGGAAAUACGACACCCAUUUGCUUUGUACGCCUGGGGGGAAAAACAGACUGACACAGGCAAUCAGAAGACACACAAUGUCUGUGCAUCUGCUUCAGAGAAUGAAAUUCAUGAGUCUGCGUUAAGAGCAAAGAACAAAAGGCAAGUGGAGAAAAGGAAGCUGUCCCAGAGACAGAUUCGUUCAACAGAGGUCGAGAGAAACUGGAGAGCGAAACCAUCUGGACCAGACAAUCCCUGGAUGACUGAAUACAUGAGGUGUUACUCGGCACGAGCCCGGUGAUUCAAAACUUGAGCGGACCCCACCUUUUUGUUUUAAUUUCAGAAAUAGUACUGGGAAACAACUAUGACACUGCAGCAAAGUUCCAAACUACCUAUGCAAGAUUUUUACAAAAGGAUUUUUUAUUAGGUAGUUUGUUACAUUUGUUUAUAUUUUGGCUAUUUAUAUUGGCUGUAGUGCAAAGAACUGGUACCAUACUGAUGGACGGGAAUGGGAACUUUGUUUGCUAGUAGAGAUUCCCUCUUACCUUUUUCAAAAACAUGUGGGCCAAGAAAUUUGCCCGUGGACCUUCAGGUGACAAGCUAUAAAAGGUUGUACAGUGAACUGUUUUAUUCAAAGAACUCAGAAGGGAUUCCUUUACAAAUGUUUAAAUCUUUGUUGAUUACUGAACUCGUCAGUUCUAAUCCACAGAAAUUUGGUUUCCAUAAUGACACACUGUGAGUUAGUUACAAUUAAAAAUGUUCUUGGUUUUGAGGGCCAGGGACAUUUUAAAAAUCAGGUAUGUAAACACCAUUAUGUUUUCUAAUUAUUUUAAUUAACUUGCAGUGGUUUGUCUGGGUCAGUGCAACUUGUGACCUCACAAGCCAAAAGAUACCCCUGAGCCAUUGAGUGUGGCUGUCUAGAUGUUACAUCCCAGCUCUCAUCAGCACUGCCAGCAUAGCUGGUAAUGAAUGAAUGAUGUUGGGAGUCAUAGCCCAGUAACACCUAGAGGGUCACAUUUCCCCAUUCUUGCUCCAUGGAGUCCACUCUUGAGCCUCUGUAACUCUGCUGUUGCAAGUCAUCCCGAGUCUGCAAAAAUGGGGGAGUGAUGGUUGGCAAGUCUUAAGCUGUGGAGGCCUGAGUAUGCAGGUUAUUAUACAGCUGUCUGUAAAGUGUUAGAGAUCUGAAAAUGUUGGGGGGAUUUACAGAAAAUUCUCUCCAGUUUUUGUUAAAUAUAUGUGACAUAUUCAGGUUUACAUUCCAGUUGUGGAUUUCGUGGCCAUCUGGAAUUGAAGAUUUUGGUGCAAUAGUGGAAAACUACCAUCCAAAUUCAUCAGUGCAUAAGCUUUCUUUUAGAGGUAAAGAUGAAGGAGAGUGAGUAGAACUACUUGGCUGAGCAAAUCUUAAAAUUGUGGGCACUGUCACAAAAUGAAUGGAAUGCUUUGUAAUAAUUCUCUCCUUGGAAGCAUGGAAACCUGCAUCAUCUCUUUGUGUCUUCAAUAAAUCUGGAUCAGUAUACCCUUCAUUUGCCGAAUGCACAAUACACCCAAAUGCACCAAUGACACUUUGCAGUUUCAGCACAGUUGGAGUUUCUGCCAAUUUGACAAAUUCUUUCUCAUAUUAAUAUGUGAGACUGUAAAAUAACAUUCUGCAAUACUUCAGUGUUUGUAGUUUCACAUGUACCUCAUAGCAUGAUCAAAUGACUUUAAUGGCAGCUAUCACAGGUGAAAAUUUAGAUUUCUCUCUUAAAAUAAGAGAGCUAAUGCCCAACAUAUUUGUAUUUAGGUCCUCCGCUCCCCCAAACAUCUUGGCUAGAGAGGGGGAUGCUUUUAAAGAUAACAACCAGCUAACCUCUCUACUCAUAGACACCAACCAAUCUUCUCAGUAGUAGACUACCUAGCUGCGCAACUAUAGCUUACUGCUGUAUAGAGUUGUGCCUUGGAUUGGAACAUCAACCUGACAACAGUAUUAAAGAAUUAAAAUGGAGCAUCUCAGAUGUCAUCUAAAACUGACCAGCAGGGAAGAAAGUAAUGUAACUUCCUAUGGUUGGCACAAGAAUGUUAGUAUUAACACUGCCAAACUUCUGCUGGUUGGUUGAAAAUGACUCUGGUUGAAACUAUUUCCUGGAAAUUUGUCCCCUUAGCUCUCAUACUCCUGCAAGGGCCUUUGCCCUAUUUCUUCGAGAUUUUAAGCAAUAAAUAUUACUGAGAACCAUUUCUGUACAAGACUGGCACUUAAGAGGGUUUCUGUUACAUAUCAGAAGACUAGAUUUUCUGUGCUUCUGUAUGUACAGAGAAAAAUUAUUCUUGUGGUAUGAGAUACAAAAUGGUGAACACAUCAUGCAAAUAACUGCCAACUUCUUAGUAAGUACAUGUUUACACCCUCUGCCCCCAACUAUGUCAGGUUGUGACUUGAGGUUGGCUAAAUCAAGCUAUACUGAUACUGCAUGCUACCUGGAAAAACCCAAAGAAUUCAUAUUGUGGCAAUGAACAGCUGAAAUCUGACUAAAAUCUUGGGAGUGUGGCUGUUUAAACAGGUAUUUAUUAGCCAUUAUGGGGAUACACAGCAGUAAAGCCAUAAAUUCAGCUCCUAUUCCUACACGUAAUCCCUGGAAAACAAGGGGUUAGGGUAUGUCAGAGGUGCAUUUCACUUUUGUAAGCACUAGAAUCACUUUAGAGAAAAGUGUGGAAAAAAUAAAGCUUGAAGCAAUAUGUGACUUAGAACAUGUCUUAAACAGCACUUGCUUUUUCUAAUGUUUUGUGUUCUUUAUAUUUAAUUGUACUUGCUAUGACUUUGUACAAGUGAAUAAAAUGGAUUUGGAAAGUUAGUUCGACCAUUUUUUUGAUAAGUGUCAUGGGUCUGAACCUAGCUAAACGUAGUGGUUCACAAUUACAGGAGGGUGACAGCAGUUUUCAUGCAUUUUGUAAGAUGAUACCAGCUAAUUUACCUAUGUUAAAUCUGAAGUUCAGCAGUAAGUAGCUAUGGAUGUACUUAAUGACAUUCCAACGUACACAUUUUAACAGUGGCUUCAUACAUGAAUGGAAAGCUCCCUAGUGCCAGCAAUGUUUGCUAGAAACUUAAUAGAAAUUACUGCUACUAAUAUGUUAGCAUAUUUUACUAAAAAACCUUGGGCAGAACAUUCCAUCCACAAACAGAAAUCAUUUUAUUAGAACUUCCAAUUCUUAUACUGGAAAAAUUGAAAGUUUGUCGUGGAGGGGUAGCCUUUCCUCAGAUUUCUUGUCAAGAGCACACUAUCUUUUAGUGUGGUGUUUGAGCCGUUUUUAGUAUUUGUACUUACUGUUAGCUUUAAUAUUGUCU
This is a non-coding RNA of Pogona vitticeps (central bearded dragon), 3996 nucleotides long. The record is from RefSeq and is a predicted model, not a curated record. Lineage: Eukaryota; Metazoa; Chordata; Lepidosauria; Squamata; Agamidae.